CUGCCUUUUGAGCGCUUUCCCCCACACCUGGUUCCUAAUGCCAAUCAAGACGUUUUUCGGUUGUGUGGUUGCUAUCUGGGUUGUUGGUACUUUGUUGAAUGAAUCUUCUACUUGGAUGAACAUAGCAAGCGCAAAAAUAGCUUUCAAGGAUGUGGCCAUCUCGAUUUCCGACAUCGUAACUGGACGUCAUUCCUGGCUCCGACUUCCAAUCUUCCGAGCCAGCUUCUUUUGCAUCUGAGGACCCCGCCCGAAGAAGAUGUAGUUGACAAAGGCGUACUCCAGGAGGGCGAGGAAGACCAUGACAAAGCAGCCCAUCAAGUACAUGUCGAUGGCCUUCACGUACGGGAUCUUGGGCAGCGUCUC
Entelurus aequoreus (snake pipefish) is the source of this 363-nucleotide long non-coding RNA. RefSeq lists it as uncharacterized. The record is from RefSeq and is a predicted model, not a curated record. NCBI's taxonomy places the organism in Eukaryota, Metazoa, Chordata, Actinopteri, Syngnathiformes, Syngnathidae. The transcript has 3 exons.